Molecule: non-coding RNA, 105 nt
Organism: Acanthosepion pharaonis
Lineage: Eukaryota; Metazoa; Mollusca; Cephalopoda; Sepiida; Sepiidae
Source: the annotation of a GenBank genome assembly
UUACGGCCACAUCAAGUUGAAACAUCGGUUCCCGUACGAUCAUCAAAGUUAAGCAAAGUCAAGCUUGGUCAGUACCUAGAUGGGUGACCGCUUGGGAAUACACCG